GCUCACACCGGUUUAAACUCAGAUCAUGUAAAAUUUUAUAGGUCGAACAGACCUCCCCUACUAGCUACUGCACCAGUAGUAUAUUUUAAUCCAACAUCGAGGUCGCAACCCCUUCUUUUGAUACGAACUCUAAGAAAGAUCACGCUGUUAUCCCUAAGGUAGUUUCAUCUUAUAAUCUAAACACUAGGAUCAUACAUCUACACAUUAGUAUUACUAGAAAAAAAAGUUACUUAAAUUUCUUAAUCGCCCCAAUUAAACAUGCCUUAAAAUUUUUAAUAUAAAUUCCAUACACCUAUAACUCCAGUACAUGUAAAACUCUAUAGGGUCUUCUCGUCUUCUAUAUUAAUUUAAGCUUUUUCACUUAAAAAUAAAUUUCUAGAAAAUUUCCUAAGAGACAGUUACUUUCUCAUCAAACCUUUCAUUCAAGCUUUAAAUUAAAAAACUAGUGAUUAUGCUACCUUUGCACGGUCAAAAUACCGCGGCCAUUCAACUAUCAUCGGGCAGGCCGAACUUGAAAUCAUACUCAUCAAGC
Molecule: ribosomal RNA, 532 nt
Filed under: Trigonopterus sp. 469 MB-2015
Lineage: Eukaryota; Metazoa; Arthropoda; Insecta; Coleoptera; Curculionidae
Description: partial 16S ribosomal RNA
Source: RNAcentral